GACGAACGCUGGCGGCGUGCUUAACACAUGCAAGUCGAACGGAAAGGCCCUGCUUUUGUGGGUGCUCGAGUGGGGAACGGGUGAGUAACACGUGAGUAACCUGCCCUUGACUUUGGGAUAACUUCAGGAAACUGGGGCUAAUACCGGAUAGGAGCUCCUGCUGCAUGGUGGGGGUUGGAAAGUUUCGGCGGUUGGGGAUGGACUCGCGGCUUAUCAGCUUGUUGGUGGGGUAGUGGCUUACCAAGGCUUUGACGGGUAGCCGGCCUGAGAGGGUGACCGGCCACAUUGGGACUGAGAUACGGCCCAGACUCCUACGGGAGGCAGCAGUGGGGAAUAUUGCACAAUGGGCGGAAGCCUGAUGCAGCAACGCCGCGUGCGGGAUGACGGCCUUCGGGUUGUAAACCGCUUUCGCCUGUGACGAAGCGUGAGUGACGGUAAUGGGUAAAGAAGCACCGGCUAACUACGUG
Molecule: ribosomal RNA, 467 nt
Filed under: uncultured bacterium
Lineage: Bacteria
Description: partial 16S ribosomal RNA
Rfam family: Bacterial small subunit ribosomal RNA
Source: RNAcentral